CAGUAGCCGCGGUAAUACGAAGGGGGCUAGCGUUAAUCGGAAUUACUGGGCGUAAAGCGUGCGCAGGCGGUUAUAUAAGACAGAUGUGAAAUCCCCGGGCUCAACCUGGGAACUGCAUUUGUGACUGGAUGACUAGAGUACGGCAGAGGGGGAUGGAAUUCCGCGUGUAGCAGUGAAAUGCGUAGAUAUGCGGAGGAACACCGAUGGCGAAGGCAAUCCCCUGGGCCUGUACUGACGCUCAUGCACGAAAGCGUGGGGAGCAAACAGGAUUAGAUACCCCCGUAGUCCCUGUCUCUUAUAC
This 301-nucleotide ribosomal RNA is filed under the name uncultured bacterium. RNAcentral's name for it is "partial 16S ribosomal RNA". It matches the Rfam family "Bacterial small subunit ribosomal RNA", at positions 509 to 807 of the family's 1533-position model. The record is from RNAcentral.